UUGAACGCUGGCGGCAUGCCUUACACAUGCAAGUCGAACGGUAGAGGGGCAACCCUUGAGAGUGGCGAACGGGUGAGUAAUAUAUCGGAACGUGCCCAGUCGUGGGGGAUAACGCAGCGAAAGCUGCGCUAAUACCGCAUACGAUCUAUGGAUGAAAGCGGGGGAUCGCAAGACCUCGCGCGAUUGGAGCGGCCGAUAUCAGAUUAGGUAGUUGGUGGGGUAAAAGCCCCA
Molecule: ribosomal RNA, 231 nt
Filed under: uncultured bacterium
Lineage: Bacteria
Description: partial 16S ribosomal RNA
Rfam family: Bacterial small subunit ribosomal RNA
Source: RNAcentral